AUUUCACACCUGGAUGUGCUCACUCAACCAAGAAUAUAGAGAAAGAGCUUCUGCCCUGAGACUCAGAAAAAUAUUCUCCUGUGCUUUGGUUCAGUAUAGAUUUCUAAACCCUGAUCAUUGCUUAAGAGAUAUUCACUGAGGACAGAGUCUUGCUCUAUUGCCCAGGCUGCAACUGGUGUGAUCUCGGCUCACUACAACCUCUGCCUCCUGGGUUCAAGCGAUUCUCCUGCCUCAAGCUCCCAAGUAGCUGGGAUUACAAGCAUGCACCACCAUGCCUGGCUAAUUUUUGUAUUUUUAGUGGAGACGGGGUUUCGCCACAUUGGCCAGGGUGGUCUUGAACUCCUGACCUCAAGUGAUCCACCUGCCUUGGCCUCCCAAAGUGCUGGGAUUAUAAGCAUGAGCCACUGCACCCAGCCUUAUACUGAACUUUCAAUGGGUUCAAUUCCACUAGGAGCAUAAAGGCCACUGCAUAUGAGUUGUGGAAAGAAGAGAUUAGAAGAAGGAAGAACUUGAGAUGAGUUCCUCCCUUCAACAUUCUGUCUCCUCCUACCUAGCAUCUUCUUUCUUUUAGUCUUUCUAGAAUGUCCAUCUGUUUUUGGCCAUUGCGGAGAGAGAAGCUGAGCUUUAAAGGAGUAGGAGCUUCAAAGGCGUAGGAGCUUCAAAAUUCUUGUUUCUUCAUGUUUGAUCACCCUUCUAAACCUGUCUUCUGUUCCUUCUGCUAUUCUUUUUUCUUAGAGCAUAGGAAAGGGGAGCUUUUAAAUUAAUACUUAAAGCAUGGAAAAAAAGAACUUGAGAAGAAAGUAAAACAAGGGAGAUGAGGCUAGUAAAGUAAGGAAAAUGAAGAGGAAGAGGAGGAAGGGUUAGCUUCUAAAUUCCAAGUCAAAUUGAUAUGGAACAGGCAAGCCGCUUGUCUUACUUAAACUUCAGAAAAGGAUCUGCUGAAACUUGAUAGAAAUGGAAAGGGAAAUCCUUGGGGUGGGGAACCUCCAAACAUUAGUAAUGAUAUUGAACAACUCAAAGUAUUGAGGAAAUCUGCAGGCUACAUGCCUGAAGAUUACCCAUGCAGAUAGACCAAAAGGAUUAGAAUUAUCUGUUGAUAUUAGUAAUAUUUAUUGACAUCUAGCUAGUAUUGGUAAUUUUAAGUUUUAGAUUAAUUUCUUUGGUAAUAGCUAUGAUAUAUUUUAUAGACAAGAAUUAUAUCUAUAGGCUUGCUAUCAUAGGCUCUUUUAAUCAGCAUUAAUUUAGUCUACUGAUUUUUAGCACAUUUGAAUCAUUCACUUAUGCUAGGUAACUCAUUGCAAAAUAAAAAGAUGAUUCCUGUAUGUAUGGCAGCUAUACAUUAAGGAGGAGUCUACCAGAAUAUGAAAAAGUCAGCUGACCUAAAUAUUGCUGAGACAAAGGAAAACCCACUCCCUUGGAGGAGCAUGACCUUUUCCUGUAAUUCUUCCCACUGCUGUUGUUGAGCUCCUUGGAUCCUGGCUCCUGGACACCAUCAUCAAGAAGACUUUAUGGAUGGGCUGUCCACCCACUGAGAGAAGAGGAGCAUCAGCUACAGUUUCUCUCUAGAUUGCCUUCUUCAUUUUGAGUAAUGACUGUCAGCAGGGUCAGAUUAAACACAAAACAACUGGACAAUUGCUUGGAGGACUAAACUAUAAGGGCACUAACAUGUCAAUAGUAGGCUAACACAUCCAUGGAAAAUAUAUUUACCAGCUCUUCUCUCAGGGAGGAUUCUGUGUGGGGUUGGAAGUAAUGAUUUGUUAAAUUCCUUAGGGGUAGAAAGUAGGGCAUAAUCAGAAUAUAGAGGAAUAUGCUGUUUGACUUCAGGGUUUCUGUUUUUCUUACUAGGAUAUAUAAAACAGGGACUCUAGCUAGAUUGUUUAUGACCACAGAGGGUAGGCUGAGUGCUCCCAUGAUCUUCCUGCUUGGUUCUUGCCCAUACAGAGGUCAGCCUUUCCUCUAAUAAAGAUUGAACAAGUAGUGGUCUGAGGGAGACACCAAUUCAUUACCCUACAUGUCUCUUCUCUGCACUCCAGGGCUUUGAUAAUAAAGACACUGGCAGACUAUCUAUCUUCCAUUUCUAUAAUGUGAGCCCUUAGGGAGUCUUCGUUCACUUGGGGGUGAGGGUCAUUGCUCACAGAGUAGUUCAAGUCAAAUGGAACUUGAACUCUUUGCCUAUGGGCCUGGUGGUCAGACUCUGUGUUGAGUUCAUUAGAUUAUUGGAGACACAAGGUAGAGCUGGAUGCUUCAAAAAUAUUUGGCUAAAGGAUGACAUUGCUGGUUAUUUGUAGAUAAAGCCAUGAUGGAACCUGCUUGGAAUCAUGAAAUAUGGAACUGGUGGUCAUGUUUAAAAAUACAACUAAUAGUUAAGUACCUACUGGACACUGUAGAGACUUAGGGGCUAGACAGACAUGGUUCCUGCCCCCUUGGAGCUUACACUGUAGCUUCCCCUUAGGUAUGAAGAACAGUGGCUACAACUAACAAAUGGCCACAAAGAUAUAAUUGAGCCAGUGUUCCAAUUAUUAGGGUAAUUCCUAUUUCCUUAAUCAUUCCUAUUGACCAUGUUCUAUAAGCCUGCAUUCUAUAAAUGGCGUAUGACCAUGGGCUGUUUCCCCCCAGCAAGUUGUACAAAGUUCUGUGGUACCAGGGAAAGGGCUUAAGGUUAGCAGGGCCUCUGCGGAAGGACAUAUGAAGUGACUUGGGUUAGGAAACAGGAAGGGAUAGGAUUCAAGAACAGCUAUUGCUUCUGUUCUAUAUAGGAAACUGCAGCGUGAAAAAUGCUGGGCUGGGAAUUUUGAGACCUGGGUUUUAGUUUGUGUUCUAAUACUAACAAGCUAUGUGACUGUGGGUAAGUCAUUUCACAUUCCAUUUGGAUGCCUCUUGAGUGACUCCAGGCCUCUCCAGCUCUAAAACAUUAAGAUCAGGCCCUACGCUACAGCUGGCCAGUGUGUAAUUCUUCUGUUUCUAUGCUGUUAGGUCAAAUAGAUCUUCAAUAGUUACUUGAUUGUUAUUACUUUUUUCUGAAGUGGGUGUUUUAUCAAUGUUUUAGGAUACAGUGAGUCUGCUUCUCCCCUUUGGAGUUAGGAAGGUUGUAGGAAUAUACACUGUAGAGCAUAUGGGAGCUUUAUCCCCUCCUUUUUUCCCCGCUACCUUUCUCCCUCUCCUUCCCUUCAUCACAUUUCUAUUGAGCAUAUGCCAUUGCCGUGUACCAGGUGUGUGCUAGGUUUGGAGAUACAAGGUAAACCUGAGACUUUCCCAGUCUCCAGGAGACAAAACCCUAAUUUCUUUCAUCUGCUGUCUUUCUCUUUGGAAAGAAUCAACGAUAUCCCAGGGGAAUGUGCCCAUGUCCCAGGGUAACCAACUACAGACAGAUGCCCCAUUCUACUCAAGCAACUUUUAGAGUGCCUUGAGAUACACAUCAGAUAAUUAUGCAGGGCCAGGCAUGGUGCUGCACACUUGUAAUCACAGCACUUUGGGAGGCCGAGGCAGCAGAUUGCUUGAGCCCAGGAAUUCAAGUGUAGCCUAGGGAACAUGGCAAAACCCCAGCUCUACAAAAAAAUACACAAAUUAGCUGCGUGUGGUGGCCUAUGACAGGAGGCUGAGAUGGGAGGAUUGCUUGAGCCUGUGAGGUCGAGGCUGCAGUGAGCCGAGAUCAUGCCAUUACUCCAGCCUGGGUGACAUAGGGAGACCCUGUCUUGAAAAAAAAAAAAAAAAGAUAAUUAUUCAGCCCUAGAGUCAUUGUGAAAAGAUCUAUCUUCAGAUAUAAGGAAGAAACAAUCUUUUAUUUCUUAGGAUAAAUCUGUAGAAGGACCUCCAGACAGUGAAGGCCACUGACUACUUUAUACUCUGUAAGCCAUCCCUCCCUGGUAGGAAGGACUAUUUCCAAUCUUACAGAGUACCUCUCAGCAAAUAGACGUUUUCACAUAUACUGUGAUUCAUACAUCCCUAUGGCUGGUGACCUCUUUAAAAAGGAAAGGAAAAAGCCUAAUCAAACAAAAAGAUGCUGCUAGUAAUUCUUACCCUAUUGUGAAUCCUAUAUAAGCAAAUUUGUAUCUUUGUUUUUUCCUACAUUAGCAGAUCUAUUUGAUGUAUAUCUCUGAGUGCAGAAAAUAUUUUAUGGAAAAAUCAAUAUAUGGAAUUUCAAAUUCAGAAUUGCUGAUACACACUAUUUGGUUUCACAAUUUUAUCCUAGGAAAUAGUAUUAGAGAUUUCAAUUUCUGGCUUAAAUGGUAGAAUUAAUUACUCUUAACUCUUAAUUUUACUUCUGAGUUGAGGUCAAGGAACAGGCAGACACCUGCAGUUAACGUCUAUACCUCUCCAUGGCCAAGAGUUUUAAUUUUCUCGUCUUCAAUUUUGUAGAUGUUCAUCAUUACUAAAUGGAUUGAUUAGUAUUUUAUCUCCUCUCCUUGUCCUUACUUUCCCUCUGGUAAAUAUGUUAUAAACAGUGUAAGGCUCCUAAGAUAGAGUAGCUGGUAGGACUUAGAAGAGAAACAAAGGGCACUGAUAACUCACAUAAAUGGAAAAUUGGCUCUGGAAUAACUGACAACAUAUUCAAGUAUUUUAGUGCAGUGUCACUCUCAUUAAGAAGAAGAGAAUCAGUAAAUCUAUGUGACUCUAAACAUUCUAAUGAAAAAAGGAAUAUUCUGCCAAUUAUCUCACAUUUCUAAAUAUCUGGAUAUUGGCCAUUGUAAAGACAAAACAUACAGAUGAUGGACUUGUCUUUCCACCUCUCAUUUGCAUGGUUUGGAGCAUUGUACCUCCAGCCAUAGACUCUAAGGCAAUUUAUAUUUGCUUCCUCUUCCCUCUUGAGAGAAAACGAAAAUCUUAUUUUUCCAAGCAAUUAAAACUCUUCUGCUUCAGCUAGGAUGAAAGAAUUAGGAGUUCUGUCUCCUUGUAUCUAAUUGCAUGUUUCAUCUUUCUUGUUUUAAUGAUUGACAGAAAACUAAUAAACUGAGACAUCUUUGAAUCCAGGUUGAAUGUA
Molecule: long non-coding RNA, 4978 nt
Filed under: Homo sapiens (human)
Lineage: Eukaryota; Metazoa; Chordata; Mammalia; Primates; Hominidae
Description: non-protein coding DLX6-AS1:1
Rfam family: Embryonic ventral forebrain-2 long ncRNA (bases 1-141)
Source: RNAcentral